CAAUCCUUGAGGACAAUGAAGCAGACCAGAUCCCUGCCCUGAGAGAAAGUUUAUGUUCUGGGAACAAAUGGCAAGGAGUAUCAGUGAGCCCCAGGGGAAAGAGCAGAGGUUGAAAAUGACAGUACCCCAGAGCAUGAAUGGGAACAUCUCAAGCCGGGCGUGGUGGCGCACACGUGUGAUCCCAGCACUCUGGGAGGUGGAGGCCAGCCUGGUCUACAAGGCCUUCUGUUGUCCCAGGAAGGAGAGCCUCUGUUAGCCCCAUACCCCAGGGCACAAGGCCUUGACCAGAAGAGAUGGCUUGGAGCCUUUGCUGUUCGCUGGCCUUGAACUUGACCAGGUCUCUCCAGCAGUGGGUCUCUGACCUCUCUCUCUGCUUCCCUACCUCUGAGAGAGGCAGUUCUUCACCCCCUGCCUCAUGGUUUACAGCCUUGCCACAGGCACAAAAACAAUGAAGCCAGCCAGCCACAGACUAAAACUUCUGAAACCGUGAGCUGAAAGAAGGAUUUCAUCUUUCAAAUUAUUUUUCCCGUUUUUGUUUGUUUGUUUGUUUGCUUGUCACAGAGACUGAAAUUGGUUCCUAGGUCAGCCAGGUCUGCUAUCUGCUGACACUGGUGUU
Molecule: long non-coding RNA, 616 nt
Organism: Psammomys obesus (fat sand rat)
Lineage: Eukaryota; Metazoa; Chordata; Mammalia; Rodentia; Muridae
Exons: 3
Source: RefSeq, a predicted model, not a curated record